Molecule: long non-coding RNA, 389 nt
Filed under: Rhinolophus ferrumequinum (greater horseshoe bat)
Lineage: Eukaryota; Metazoa; Chordata; Mammalia; Chiroptera; Rhinolophidae
Description: lncRNA (ENSRFEG00010007119.1)
Source: RNAcentral
GAAGACUUGACCGUGAAAUGAAAACAGAGAUCACCUUCUCUGAUGAGAAUACAGGAGCUGCCAAUCUUAAAUAGGCAAGAAAAUGGUGGAUGUGAGUCUGAUGUGAUUUGGUUUUGACUUGAAGCUUCUCUUCCAAAGAAAGCUUGAGAAUCUGCAAAAGAAAUCAAGGGCAAAGGAAGCGCACACUGCCCACUCUUCUUCCCACUGAGUAGCAUGUGGAUCAGGGGAGCCCCUCCAUGGGAACUGGAACUGUUUGCAGCCAUUUGCAGUGACUUCACUUGUUCUUCCAUUUGAAUGGUAUUUAUGGCACAAUGAUAAAUUUCAUCUCUCACAGAAUGCUGUGGAGGGCGCAGCUCAGCUCCAGGUCCAGUUUUUGUUGUUAGUUGCAG